CAAUUAUACCGUGAACUGCGAAUGGCUCAUUAAAUCAGUUAUCGUUUAUUUGAUAGUACCUUACUACUUGGAUAACCGUGGUAAUUCUAGAGCUAAUACAUGCUAAAAACCCCGACUUCGGGAGGGGUGUAUUUAUUAGAUAAAAAACCAACGCCCUUCGGGGCUCCUUGGUGAAUCAUAAUAACUUAACGGAUCGCAUGGCCUUGCGCCGGCGACGGUUCAUUCAAAUUUCUGCCCUAUCAACUUUCGAUUGUAGGGUAUUGGCCUACAAUGGUAUCAACGGGUAACGGGGAAUUAGGGUUCGAUUCCGGAGAGGGAGCCUGAGAAACGGCUACCACAUCCAAGGAAGGCAGCAGGCGCGCAAAUUACCCAAUCCCGACACGGGGAGGUAGUGACAAUAAAUACUGAUACAGGGCUCUUUUGGGUCUUGUAAUUGGAAUGAGUACAAUUUAAAUCCCUUAACGAGGAACAAUUGGAGGGCAAGUCUGGUGCCAGCAGCCGCGGUAAUUCCAGCUCCAAUAGCGUAUAUUAAAGUUGUUGCAGUUAAAAAGCUCGUAGUUGAACCUUGGGCCUGGCUGGCCGGUCCGCCUCACCGCGUGCACUGGUCCGGCCGGGCCUUUCCUUCUGGAGAGCCGCAUGCCCUUCACUGGGCGUGUCGGGGAACCAGGACUUUUACUUUGAAAAAAUUAGAGUGUUCAAAGCAGGCCUUUGCUCGAAUACAUUAGCAUGGAAUAAUAGAAUAGGACGUGCGGUCCUAUUUUGUUGGUUUCUAGGACCGCCGUAAUGAUUAAUAGGGAUAGUCGGGGGCAUCAGUAUUCAAUUGUCAGAGGUGAAAUUCUUGGAUUUAUUGAAGACUAACUACUGCGAAAGCAUUUGCCAAGGAUGUUUUCAUUAAUCAGUGAACGAAAGUUAGGGGAUCGAAGACGAUCAGAUACCGUCGUAGUCUUAACCGUAAACUAUGCCGACUAGGGAUCGGGCGAUGUUAUUAUUUUGACUCGCUCGGCACCUUACGAGAAAUCAAAG
This 1023-nucleotide ribosomal RNA is filed under the name Rhytidhysteron subrufulum. RNAcentral's name for it is "SSU rRNA". It matches the Rfam family "Eukaryotic small subunit ribosomal RNA", at positions 71 to 1103 of the family's 1831-position model. The record is from RNAcentral. Lineage: Eukaryota; Fungi; Ascomycota; Dothideomycetes; Hysteriales; Hysteriaceae.